RNAcentral lists this ribosomal RNA (191 nucleotides) under Clostridium perfringens CPE str. F4969. The record is from RNAcentral. Lineage: Bacteria; Bacillati; Bacillota; Clostridia; Eubacteriales; Clostridiaceae.
UCUGGUGAUGAUGCUCUUUAGGGUAACACCCGUUUUCCAUUCCGAACACGAAGGUUAAGCCUAUUGAGGCCGAUGGUACUGCACGGGAGACUGUGUGGGAGAGUAGGUGGUUGCCAGGUAAUAUGGAUCUUUAGCUCAGUUGGUUAGAGCAACCGGCUCAUAACCGGUAGGUCCGGGGUUCGAGUCCCUGA